CCUACGGGAGGCAGCAGUGAGGAAUAUUGGUCAAUGGGCGGAAGCCUGAACCAGCCAAGUAGCGUGCAGGAUGACGGCCCUACGGGUUGUAAACUGCUUUUAUACGGGAAUAACGCGACUUACGUGUAGGGCUUUGCAGGUACCGUAUGAAUAAGGACCGGCUAAUUCCGUGCCAGCAGCCGCGGUAAUACGGAAGGUCCGGGCGUUAGCCGGAUUUAUUGGGUUUAAAGUGAGCGUAGGCCGCAUGUCAAGUGUGCUGUGAAAUGUCCGGGCUCAACCCGGGGCUUGCAGCGCGAACUGGCGUGCUUGAGUCCGGGGAAAGCAGGCGGAAU
RNAcentral lists this ribosomal RNA (332 nucleotides) under uncultured bacterium. RNAcentral describes it as "partial 16S ribosomal RNA". It matches the Rfam family "Bacterial small subunit ribosomal RNA", at positions 338 to 667 of the family's 1533-position model. The record is from RNAcentral.